RNAcentral lists this transfer RNA (76 nucleotides) under Bacteriovoracales bacterium. RNAcentral describes it as "tRNA-Ala". It matches the Rfam family "tRNA". From Rfam's summary of the family: Transfer RNA (tRNA) molecules are approximately 80 nucleotides in length. Their secondary structure includes four short double-helical elements and three loops (D, anti-codon, and T loops). Lineage: Bacteria; Pseudomonadati; Bdellovibrionota; Bacteriovoracia; Bacteriovoracales. RNAcentral also lists the same sequence under 1 other name. The record is from RNAcentral.
GGGGGUGUAGCUCAACUGGGAGAGCGUCACAUUUGCACUGUGAAGGUAGUAGGUUCGAGUCCUAUCAUCUCCACCA